Molecule: long non-coding RNA, 1884 nt
Filed under: Ananas comosus (pineapple)
Lineage: Eukaryota; Viridiplantae; Streptophyta; Magnoliopsida; Poales; Bromeliaceae
Description: long non-coding RNA (ACOM_LNC023131)
Source: RNAcentral
AUAAAGAGAAUUAGAGUGUGAAUUGGGUUGGAGUGAGUUUCGGGGACGAAACUCUUAUUAAGGAGGGGAGGAUGUAAGGUAGCGGACUUCUAAAACUAUGAAGUUACGGUGUAUAUUUAAAUGGUUCCGGUGAGGUUGCGGUGGAAUGUAACAUACCGGAUUUUAAAUAUAAAAGUGAAAAUAAAUAAAAAUAGUAUGAGAUACUAUUUUUAUUGGAUUUAGAGAAGUGAAAUAUAAGUUGGGAAUGACCUGUGCUGAAAUCGGAGCGAAAAUAGUAGAUUUAGAAUUUUCUCUAAGAAACGGGGCAGAUAAAUUAGCAGAAAAUGCACAGUCUCAGAAAAUUAUGAAAAUUGGCGGAGAUGUCAGAAACAUUUUUAUGAGGCUCGAUUUAAAGUUUCAUGCCAUUCUGACACCCGGAAGGUGAAAAAUAGAAUCCGAAAGCUAUCUGAUAAAGAUUACUGUUCGGUACAGUUUUCGGUGACCAAACGGGGUCGAAACUGAAAUAUUAAAAUUUCUUUGGACUUAUUAAGUAAAACUGAGCCUGCCUGUCAAAUUUGAGCUCAAACGGACAUUCAGAAGGGCUCCGGCGAAAAAUAUCAAUUUCUAAACUGUCCGAAGUGAAUAGUGCAUAGUUGAGGGACUAAGUUGUAAAAUGGAUUUAAUCCCAUUUCUUCUUCUCCUUCCUCAGCCGCAGCAGCCCCAAACCGCACACACACAUACGCAUACACACACGCAUGGAAGGGAGAGAGAAAACUUCCAUUUCUCUCUCUAAAUCUCUCCCAAAAUUAAAGAAAUUGGUGGAGAUUGAAGCUUGUAGGUGAAUCGUCUUCAUCUUCUUUAUCUUCUCCAUUGUUUGGAGCUAAUUUUGAGGUGAGCUUCUUGAGCCCUCUCAUGGUAGGUCUCUAGAUAUGUGGUUUUGAUCUCUAGAAAUGGAUUUAGAGGAAUCCUAGCAUGCUAUCUAGAUGAUUGAUCCUUAAUUCGUGAAGGGAUUUGGUGAUUUCAUGCAUAGUUGUAAUCUAGGGUUCAAAAUGCAAUUUUUGGAAAUAGUUGGGUUUGAUCUCAAUUAACCCUCCGUAAACCUAAUUGCUAGGUAACGAAACGCGUUGGCGAAGACGGUUCGGCAAUCCGACGAGCCGUUACAAAGUUAUUAAAGAAACGGACGUUUAGGCUUCGUUUACGCCUGGAGGGCCGAGGCGACGUCGUAAAAUCGUGAAAACGGAUUUGAAGCACCGUGGCACAUAACCGAAGACCUUUAAUUUCCGGAUCGCAAAUCGGAGAUCGUUUGGCUAGUCGCGCGAGAGUUCGAGCCAAAAUUGGAGCAACAUGUUGGAUGCAAAAUUGUUGGGGCUGAUGAGAGAUGAGCAUACAUUUUGUAAUUGCGUAAAUGGGUCGUUCACUCCAACUGCUUGGAAGAGGAUGGUAAAUGUAAGGUACCGGACUUCUAAAACUAUGAAGUUACGGUGUACAUUUAAAUGGUUCCGGUGAGGUUGCGGUGGAAUGUAACAUACUGGAUUUUAAAUAUAAAAGUAAAAAUAAAUAAAAAUAGUAUGAGAUACUAUUUUUAUUGGAUUUAGAGAAGUGAAAUAUAAGUUGGGAAUGACCUGUGCUGAAAUCGGAGCGAAAAUAGAAGAUUUAGAAUUUUCGAUCAAACCCAACUAUUUCCAAAAAUUGCAUUUUGAACCCUAGGUUACAACUAUGCAAGAAAUCACCAAAUCCCUUCACGAAUUAAGCAUCAAUCAUCUAGAUAGCAUGCUAGGAUUCCUCUAAAUCCAUUUCUAGAGAUCAAAACCACAUAUCUAGAGACCUACCAUGAGAGGGCUCAAGAAGCUCACCUCAAAAUUAGCUCCAAACAAUGGAGAAGAUAAAGAAGAUGAAGACGAUUCA